GUAACCUGCCCUUAACUCUGGGAUAAGCCUUGGAAACGGGGUCUAAUACUGGAUAUUGACUUUUCCUCGCAUGGGGUUUGGUUGAAAGAUUUAUUGGUUUUGGAUGGACUCGCGGCCUAUCAGCUUGUUGGUGAGGUAAUGGCUCACCAAGGCGACGACGGGUAGCCGGCCUGAGAGGGUGACCGGCCACACUGGGACUGAGACACGGCCCAGACUCCUACGGGAGGCAGCAGUGGGGAAUAUUGCACAAUGGGCGAAAGCCUGAUGCAGCGACGCCGCGUGAGGGAUGACGGCCUUCGGGUUGUAAACCUCUUUCAGUAGGGAACAAGGCCAGCAUUUUUGUUGGUUGAGGGUACUUGCAGAAGAAGCGCCGGCUAACUACGUGCCAGCAGCCGCGGUAAUACGUAGGGCGCAAGCGUUAUCCGGAAUUAUUGGGCGUAAAGAGCUCGUAGGCGGUUUGUCGCGUCUGCCGUGAAAGUCCGGGGCUCAACCCCGGAUCUGCGGUGGGUACGGGCAGACUAGAGUGAUGUAGGGGAGACUGGAAUUCCUGGUGUAGCGGUGAAAUGCGCAGAUAUCAGGAGGAACACCGAUGGCGAAGGCAGGUCUCUGGGCAUUAACUGACGCUGAGGAGCGAAAGCAUGGGGAGCGAACAGGAUUAGAUACCCUGGUAGUCCAUGCCGUAAACGUUGGGCACUAGGUGUGGGGGACAUUCCACGUUUUCCGCGCCGUAGCUAACGCAUUAAGUGCCCCGCCUGGGGAGUACGGCCGCAAGGCUAAAACUCAAAGGAAUUGACGGGGGCCCGCACAAGCGGCGGAGCAUGCGGAUUAAUUCGAUGCAACGCGAAGAACCUUACCAAGGCUUGACAUGAACUGGAAACACCUGGAAACAGGUGCCCCGCUUGCGGUCGGUUUACAGGUGGUGCAUGGUUGUCGUCAGCUCGUGUCGUGAGAUGUUGGGUUAAGUCCCGCAACGAGCGCAACCCUCGUUCUAUGUUGCCAGCACGUGAUGGUGGGGACUCAUAGGAGACUGCCGGGGUCAACUCGGAGGAAGGUGAGGACGACGUCAAAUCAUCAUGCCCCUUAUGUCUUGGGCUUCACGCAUGCUACAAUGGCCGGUACAAUGGGUUGCGAUACUGUGAGGUGGAGCUAAUCCCAAAAAGCCGGUCUCAGUUCGGAUUGGGGUCUGCAACUCGACCCCAUGAAGUCGGAGUCGCUAGUAAUCGCAGAUCAGCAACGCUGCGGUGAAUACGUUCCCGGGCCUUGUACAC
Molecule: ribosomal RNA, 1268 nt
Filed under: Arthrobacter psychrochitiniphilus
Lineage: Bacteria; Bacillati; Actinomycetota; Actinomycetes; Micrococcales; Micrococcaceae
Description: bacterial SSU rRNA
Rfam family: Bacterial small subunit ribosomal RNA
Source: RNAcentral